This 253-nucleotide ribosomal RNA is filed under the name uncultured bacterium. RNAcentral's name for it is "partial 16S ribosomal RNA". It matches the Rfam family "Bacterial small subunit ribosomal RNA", at positions 524 to 776 of the family's 1533-position model. The record is from RNAcentral.
UACAGAGGUGGCAAGCGUUGUUCGGAAUUACUGGGCGUAAAGGGCGCGUAGGCGGUCUUGUAAGUCUUGUGUGAAAUCCCUCGGCUUAACUGAGGAACUGCACGGGAUACUGCAUGACUUGAGAUCGGGAGAGGGAAGCGGAAUUCCGGGUGUAGCGGUGAAAUGCGUAGAUAUCUGGAGGAAUACCGGUGGCGAAGGCGGCAUCCUGGACCGGCAUUGACGCUGAGGAGCGAAAGCCAGGGGAGCAAACGGG